Phoenix dactylifera (date palm) is the source of this 3805-nucleotide non-coding RNA. Lineage: Eukaryota; Viridiplantae; Streptophyta; Magnoliopsida; Arecales; Arecaceae. The record is from RefSeq and is a predicted model, not a curated record.
AUUGUUGGGCUUCCUCCGCCCCUAAAACUUCGAAAGCCUGAUCCCUUCCCCGCCAAGCCUGGGCUGUUCUCUCUCUUUCAGCCGCCGAAACCGCCGUCAUCCUCGAACGAAGCUCUCCCUCUUCCCCUCGAUUCUUUAACUCCCAGCGGAGAUGCUCCCCUCACGGGCCCUUCAACCCCGUUUCCCCUCUCUCUGAACCAACUCCACCUCCACCCGCUCCACCACGACCUCUUUUUCCCUCUCCUCUCCCUCCUCCGCCGCGUCAUGCGCGCCGCAGGCCGCCUUGUCGCCCGCUCCCCCUCCCUUCCGCUGCCUCUGCCAUCGACCGCGCCGCCGCCUCGGGUUUCCCUCUCGACCACGGCCGCUUCCUCCUCUCCCUCGUCGCCUCCGACCCUUUGCUCAAGGCCGAGGCCCUAUUUUCCCAUGCAACCAAAGGUUUCCCUUCGAACGAUCCCUCCAUGCCCGAUCCCAUGAUAGAAUGCUAUUGCAAGCUCGGGAAUUUGAUUCAGGCCAAAGCCCAUUUGAACCAACUGAUAGAAAUUCGGUCCUUGCCGUCCAUAGAGACGUACGAUGCUUUGUUACAUAGUCUUUGUGCGGAAUUGAAGUACUUGGAGGCUUUGGUCUGGAGCUCUUCUAUCUAAUUACCGGCGGCCGGUGUUUUCCCACCGUUGUCGGCUUUUAAUCUCCUGAUCCCUGGGCUGUGCUCGAAAGGAUAUCUGGACGAGGCUCGCUAAUGGCUGGCACGGGUUUUCCCCUACUGCCCGUUUGAGUCCUUGGUGUACGGGUUUUGCAAGGGAAACAGGGUCAUGGAGGCGGAACUGGGUAUUGUAAGGAAGGAAGGAUGGAGUUGGCUCGGAAUGUCCUCGUGAGAAUGAGAGAGAUGGGCAGCCCUGGAGCUGAUGUUUCUGCCUACAACAGGUGAUCUAUGGGUUGCUGAAGCUUGGAGGAUAUUGAUUCAGCAUGGGAGUUCUACAACCUGAUGGCGGAGAGAGGCUUGAAACCAAAUGCUGUGGCUUACAAUAUCAUGAUCAGUUGGUACUGCAGGAACAACCGGGUGGAUUGUGCACUGAAGCUUCUUGAUGCAAUGCUUAGGCGUGGCUUAGCACCAAAUUUACAGUGCUUCACAGCUGUGAUUACGACACCUUGCAAGGAAAACAAAUUGGUAGAGGCUGACCGAUUGUUUGAUUGCGUGAUGUUCACUUCAUUAGAGGGUCAUGAACCUACUAUAGUUAUCAAGGCUCUGCGGGCUUUGGCAAAGGCAGAUUGUAAUUUUGAUGUUCCAAAGUUAUCUAGGCCAUCUGGCUACUCUUCAAGUGAAACAUGAGAACAACAAGCCGAGCCUAUAUUUGAUGAGAUAGUGAGAAGUGUGGCGCUCCCUGUGGAUGUUGUUUUCAACAUCACAAUAAGCAUUCUGUACAGAGAUGAGAUAGUGACAAGUGUGGCGCUCCCUGUGGAUGUUGUUUUCAACAGUACAAUAAGCAUUCUGUGCACAGACGAGAAACUUCGGUGUUGCUUGUCAUUUGAUGGACAAAAUUCAGUGUUACUCAUUGAUCUUAUGCAGAUUAGGGGAGUUGUUCCUAGCAUUACUACUUAUUCCAUUGUUAUAAAUGCUUACUGCAAGCAUGGGGACAUAGAUUUGGCUUUUGGAGCCUUUAAUCAGAUGGUUGAGGAAGGCUUCAAAUCGUACUGUUGCUAUUUAUGAUCCAAUAAUAGGUUGUCUUCGCAGAGAGCAAAAGCUGAGGAAAGACAAAUUUACAUUUAACAUGGUUAUGUGCCAUGUUGCAGAAGUUAUAACAGAUUGCUUUGGAUUCUCUCUGAGAAUAACAAGUUGUGGGAGGCCCAGAGAGUUUUCAAUAUGAUGCUGCAAAGAGGAAAGACACCAAAUCAAGAAACAAAGAGAUCUGGCGGAAAUGUGCUAUAGGCAAGGACAAAUCAACAUGGCUUUUGAAAUAGAGGAAAACAUGCCCAUUUGUGACUACUGAUGGUUCAUUUUUAAUAUGCCUCAUUUAGCAUCAAAAUUUGCUGAAAUGAUGCGUGAGGGUUUUGAUUGGUUAUUGGGGUGUAUCUUUCUUCAAGGCCUUCCUUUAACAGGCUACAAGAGUUUGGGCAUUCUGAAUUGUCAUCGGUGCCUUAAUUCAAGCCUGUGGCUUGAAGCCAGGCAAGAGAGACAAGAAGUUGGAAGAUGGAUCUUCAAUUUGAAAAGGUUCAUGCAGAAUGCAGCCAGUAUGGUAGCAGCCUGUAUGAGACCCAGAAUUUAGACAUCAAAAGCUUUCCAACAUGACAGUGGCAUAUUGACAAUUUCAGGAUCAUCAUCAAGUUUGGUUAAGUCGAAAAUGAACCACAAAGAAAUUUGUUGCCGCACAAGCAGUAUGUCAGGAUCUAGGGGGCGGCUUAUCCAAGCUUGCGAGACCAGGUAUAAUUUGACUGCAUCCAAGCUUGAGGGUAUGGACUCAUACUUGUCAAGGAUUCCAUUCUGGUGGUUGAACCAAUGUUUUUAUAAUUCAUAUGCAACCAUCCCAUUCUACCCAUGCAAGGUACACCCAAUAUCAGGAAAGCAACUCCGACGAAUUUGGUGGAGCGAACAAAAACAAAAGAGCCAAGUAGGUUAAAAUUGCUACUUAACUUCUAUUCAAACGUUUAUAGAUUCCACUAGUUCAGGGAACUUGCACAGAACGAGCCAGAGGGAGAAACAUGCUGACCUUUCGCCCGUGCUAAAGGCCGGAUUAACGGGAUAAAUUCAUGUCCUCUCUUGGGACUCGGUCCUACAUUAAUAGCUUACCGUCAAUUAAGGAGUUUACCAGUGCCGACUCUUCCUCUUAAUAUCCAAUUCCACUUCUUUCUUGUCCUGCUAUAAUGGCGAGAUAGAGUCGUUAGGUACCUUAACGUCAUGGAGGCUGCAUUAAAACCAGCAAGGCUUUUUCCAACAUUUUUUAUACAACUACGCCUCAUACUAAGAAUGCAAGAGUGCAACCAAUAAAAUCAGAAAAAAAAAAUUGACGAAGAGAGAAAAAAUAAAUAUUUGAUUUUUUCUAAAAAAACUCUCUAGAAUGAUAAGUCGCAAAGAUCACUAUCUAUUAUUAUUUGCCUUUCGAUAGACAUAUAUGGUCCAGAAGAAGCUACACCCUUUUGAUAAUUUGUAUAUGUUGCAAAGCAGCAGCUGCUUGCCAACAUUGCUGUGCUAAUCUCGAAUCUACUCGAUCACCGUAGUUGAGUUCUCUUCAAAAUGAAUGCAAUCUGUACUCAGAACAUUUGAAGAUUAUUUCCCAUAACGUUCAUUAGACCAUUCACGGUGCUUGUUAUCAGUGCAUGUUUCAACUAUUAUCAUGCGUCUGUGGUUUUUUUUUUAUGCGCACAUAAUUGUUUCUAUUGUAAUCCAUUGCUGCCCAAGUUUGGUGCUUCAGCGUCCUUUAAGCCUAAGAUGCAUUAAAAGUUCGAGGUAAAACAAGACUUGUGGGGCACAAUAUGGCAGCGUUGUGUUGUCAAUUUGGGUGCCACGACAUUAAACUCUGUGAUUCGUUAAAACUAACCCAGAAAUUCUUCUCGUGAUUGUGAAGGUGGCGGUAAUUUAUUAACCCUCUGGUAGACAAGACCUGGAUAUUUUUAAUACGCGGAUUACUCUCAGUUUUGUUAAAUCAUUUGAAGUGCUCGACGAUUGUGCAAAGUAUCUUUGACCAACCUCCAAUUUAAUCCACUCGUCCAAAUUGGUUCGCUGCCUUGGGUGCCGGUUACCUAACCCUUUUUUUUAUUUUUUCUACGGCUGAUUCAAAGACUCGAGAUUCAUCAAAAUUUGCACAUGAGAGACACG